GUAGGUGGCAAGCGUUGUCCGGAAUUAUUGGGCGUAAAGCGCGCGCAGGCGGGGUCCUUUAAGUCUGAUGUGAAAGCCCACGGGCUCAACCGUGAGGGUCAUUGGAAACUGGGGGACUUGAGUACAGAAGAGGAAAGCGGAAUUCCAAGUGUAGCGGUGAAAUGCGUAGAGAUUUGGAGGAACACCAGUGGCGAAGGCGGCUUUCUGGUCUGUAACUGACGCUGAGGCGCGAAAGCGUGGGGAGCAAACAGGAUUAGAUACCCUGGUAGUCCACGCCGUAAACGAUGAGUGCUAAGUGUUAGGGGGUUUCCGCCCCUUAGUGCUGCAGCUAACGCAUUAAGCACUCCGCCUGGGGAGUACGGCCGCAAAGGCUG
This 374-nucleotide ribosomal RNA is filed under the name uncultured organism. RNAcentral describes it as "partial 16S ribosomal RNA". It matches the Rfam family "Bacterial small subunit ribosomal RNA", at positions 527 to 896 of the family's 1533-position model. The record is from RNAcentral.